This is a non-coding RNA of Microcebus murinus (gray mouse lemur), 1063 nucleotides long. NCBI's taxonomy places the organism in Eukaryota, Metazoa, Chordata, Mammalia, Primates, Cheirogaleidae. The record is from RefSeq and is a predicted model, not a curated record.
GGUUUCUAAAUUUUAGUCUCAGCAUUAAUUCAGUGUUACUUCAAUUUCCGCUUCUCAGAAAGUGGGCAUUGCCUGAUAAUUAAGCUUAUCUGGGCUUGCAGGCUUCGUGAACCCAGGGGAACUUCUGGCACUCUCCUGGUUUUAAUUGCCACUGUUGUGAAGAGAGAUGGCAUUAGCUUAAUAAGGAGAGCUGUGAGCCACAAAACCACAAUUAGGUCUUUCCCUUUGGUUGGUGAACCAUCACGUGUGAGCCAGAAGAGAGUAUAAAAAAGGUUUGAUGCUGCCAAUGGAUAUGUGGUAGAAAGAAAUCCAGAGGGCCCAGUGAAUGCAUGGUUAACCUUGAGAUAACAUUUCUGGAGAGGACUAGGGGGAGAAUGGGAGAUGACCUCUUAGCUAGAAUGUAUAGUAUGAGAACCUCAUCACUUAACUGACUUUUAAAACUAAACCUGCAAUCAAAAAGGGACACACACACACACACACACACACACACACACACACACACACUCAUUUACAAACAUUGCCAUGUAGUCAGAAGUUGGAGAACAGCUGUUGUUACAAUACAAGAGUACUCAAAUGGGAGAAUGGCAGUUUUAAUUGCUAGGAACCCUAAGGGCAAGCUAUACACAGCAAUAUGAAUUAGGUGCUGUGGGACAAAGAGAACAACUUCUGCGUGGAUAGGCCAUCUGCACUACAAUGAUCUUGCCAAGAAACAUGCAAAUCUGAAAUUGACAUUGCAAAAAAGAUCCCAGGACCUUGGCUCCUCCACAAUUUUCUGGGCCAUCUUGGGUGAGACAGCUUCCAGGCCAGUCUGGCAGCCAAAGCAAGCAAAGAAUAUGUGUCUUGGCUAGUUUCUUCUGCUAUUUUAAUUCAGUGAGAAUCUUUGAGAAAAGACAUCUGUGAUAAAAGCAAGAUUCAGAGGUGAAGAGAAGCCCCCCCUCCCCAGGCAUGUACCACACUGAAGAAAGGCUACAGGAACACACAAUGAGAAGGUAGCCAUCUGUAAGCCAGGAAGCGGGACCUCACCAGAAACUGAUUCUGAAUUGGCCUGCAUCUUGACCUUGGA